Molecule: RNA transcript, 2517 nt
Organism: Cucurbita moschata (crookneck pumpkin)
Lineage: Eukaryota; Viridiplantae; Streptophyta; Magnoliopsida; Cucurbitales; Cucurbitaceae
Gene name: probable inactive poly [ADP-ribose] polymerase SRO3
Exons: 8
Source: RefSeq, a predicted model, not a curated record
GUAAUUUUGAUUUCGAUGGGUGACUGGGAAACGGAUACAUAUGGCAGCACGCUAAGUUUCAUCGCCUCGAUUCUGCUGGUUCUUUCGAAGCGAAAUUUCAGUGCCGGCUUUCGAUCCCAGAGACUGGUAGAAUCCAUGGCCUCCUCUAAGCUUCUGAUGCAUAAGCAAUUCAGGAAGAAGAUGGUGGAAUCGGUUGCGGUUCGGGCUCCUCCGAAGCCUUGUUCGAGAAACCCUAUCGAUUCCUCCUCUUGUCAUCACUUAUCCGAUUCUUCGCAGUCUUUGAUUCAAAACUACUCCAAUUUCAAGGCCAGUGGUUUGCCUUCUCGUUUCAUGUUCUAUCAGGAUAGGUUGUGGGUUGAUUUCGAUAAUCGAGUGAUUGGAAUAUUGCGAGCGGGUUUCUCCGACCGGAAUCCGGCGAUUGAACUGGAAAUCGAUGGAUCGACGUAUCUGUUUGAUAUGUAUAGGAUGUUACAGAUUGAUUUGGAAACUGGUAGACAGAGAUCGGUUGCUUGGAUCGAUGAAAAUGGGAAGUGUUUUUUCCCCAAAGUCUUUAUCGGCGAUGAGAGUGAGGGAAAUACUCGGAGUUUGUCGAAUCCGAAAAUUGAAAUUGAGAUUAAGAUUGAUCGGAAGUCCGGGAAACGAAAGAGGGAAGCGAUGGAGAUGGAGGAGGAAGAAAAUGAAGUGAAUUCCAGCAAUGAACAUGUGGAAGUGAAGCCAUUGAAAAUACCGCGUGUUGUUGCGAAUGAUUCAGAAGCUCAUGUAUGGCCGAAGGCGAAGGCGCUGAGUGAAGGAGAUAGUGCGUACACGUUAGUAAGCAAUUUCUUUCUCCCUUCAAUGAAAAAGGUUGAUCCCAGUUCUGCAAUCACCUCAAUUCAUCAGUGCACCCGCACGGGGCCAUUGGAAAAAGCUCGCCUCGAUGUGUUUCAAAAGCAGAAUGAGAUUACAACGGCUGCCCGUGGUGUGUCCAAUAUGGUUUAUGCAUGGUAUGGAGCUUCUGCAACAAGUUUGGCGGGAAUUUUGGCUCAUGGAUUUGGGGAGCCUCUUCAGGUGCCUGCCGCCGAUACUCAUGGAAUUGGAGUUUACUUAUCUCCAUUGGGCUUGCCUCAUUUAUGUUCUACGCUAUCAGAGGUCGAUGAGGAUGGUAUAAAACAUAUGGUUUUAUGUCGAGUAAUAUUGGGUAAUGUUGAAAAGGUUGAAGCAGGAUCUCAGCAAUCCCAUCCGUCGAGUACAGAGUUUGACACUGGUGUGGAUGAUCCAACAUGUCCUAAACGGUAUAUUGUCUGGUGUAGUAAUAUGAACAGACACAUUUUACCAGAGUACAUAGUGAGUUUCAGAUCAAAUUAUCGUUUGCCAGGUAAGUUGGGGGAAUCGACAGAUACGAAGUAUUCCCUCGUGAAAUUACUUUCGAAGAUGAAGAAUUCGCUGCCUACCUCUAAAGUUCAAGAGGUUGCGACAUUGUUUCAGACAUUUAAGGCAGGAAAAUUGGGAAAAGAUGUUCUUGUUAAAAGGCUGCGAUCAAUUGCUGGAGAUGACAUGCUUCUAUCCUUAAUUCGUGAAAUUCGAGAAUGUCAAUGAGGCUGGAAAGAUGGCGACAGAUUGUUGAGACUGGUGUCCGGGCCAGUUAUCUGGAUGACAGAUCUUUAGCAGAAAAUAUUUGCAUUCAGAGGUGGGUUAAUGUUCAGUUCUAUAUAAUUUUGGCACCAUCCAUGAUUUCAUUAUCUCUUUGCUAGUGCUGACCCUGUAUGAUUUGUAUUUUUUUAUUGUGAUACUUUGUGUUUAUUACCUGGUAAGGUAGCUGAUGAAGUUGAUUGUGUAUAAGGAACUUUUUGUCAAGGGCAAGAUGAAGAAAAAUUCUUGCUUUGUGAGGGUAGAGCUCUUGGAUUCCUGAAUCUUGUUGUGAAAUUUCUUGCGAAUCUGAUCUUAUCAUUGGAUACAGAGAAUUCAUGCUGCAACACGUUGCGAAGGAGGUUUUGUGUUACUUAUCUUACCUUGUUACUAGGUGCCAGGAUUACAGAUGUUUCUCACAGAGUUGACCAUUUUAUUGAUCAAGAGUCGAGCACGAGUCUAGUGACCGAAGAAUUUAGGGAGUGAAUAUUCUUAUUACAUAUUGAAGAUGUUUGUUAUUUAUCAAGUCAAAGAUCUUUAAUCUCUCUGGAUGAUAAAUGUUCAUUCUCAAGCUGAUGCUCUCUGGGAGUGGGGGGACUCCAAGGUGCCAUUGGUGCUGGCUCGAAACAUGUGUAGAUUCCCCAGCAAGCGUUCAUCACGGAUUGGAGAACGAAGGAGACCCGAAAGUUGGCUCUUCUGAAUUUCAAGGGGCCAGAGAUUUGAAUUCUCUCCAUUGAAGCAUUUGGUUCUAACAGAGGACAUAAGAAGUGUUCCAAGAUUCCAGAUGUUCUUGAUGUAUUUGUUUUCCAAUCUUCUCCGCUUUUCUCCUUUCCACAUUCUUACGCAAAAUUAUUCAAGAAUAUGAACCUAUUGGAAAGAAGAGUGGCUUGAUAACGACUUUACUUUAGAGCA